CACGCGCCGAACGCCUUUCCGAAGCCAAGGAACGGCCGCAUGCGUAGAGCGGAGCGGAGACGUAGCGUACGACUUGCGCCUUGGUGAUCAUCUCUAGCUCACCUCUUUGACAUCAGGAUUCUGAACAUCAUGUGACUGGAUGUAGGCAGCAAAACCAACAAAGGCAACAGCCAAUGAAAGGAGGCAAAAGAAGAAGGUGACCAGAGGUGGGUGUCGCUCCAGGCAGAUACGCAGGGAGCCCAGCAGGGAGCAGGUGACCAUGGUCAGCCCUAGGAAUGAGGGUAAGAAGGUUGCAGUGUCAUCCCAGCACUAGAAGAAGCUGAAAGGUCUGCUGGAACAGCCAGAAUCAAGGGAAACGAAAAAGGCUGGCAGUGUGCUACCUGUUCCCCUUUGCGCUUUGUGUAGUACAAUCAUAAGCUUUACUUUAUUAAAUAAAUAGAUUUUAAAAAGUCAAA
Podarcis muralis (Common wall lizard) is the source of this 455-nucleotide non-coding RNA. Lineage: Eukaryota; Metazoa; Chordata; Lepidosauria; Squamata; Lacertidae. The record is from RefSeq and is a predicted model, not a curated record.